CAGCCCUUGACAUGGCAGGACGAUUUCCGGAGACGGAUCUCUUCACUUCGGUGACCUGCACACAGGUGCUGCAUGGCUGUCGUCAGCUCGUGUCGUGAGAUGUUGGGUUAAGUCCCGCAACGAGCGCAACCCUCGCCCUUAGUUGCCAUCAUUUAGUUGGGCACUCUAGGGGGACUGCCGGUGAUAAGCCGGAGGAAGGUGGGGAUGACGUCAAGUCUUCAUGGCCCUUACGGGCUGGGCUACACACGUGCUACAAUGGCGGUGACAGAGGGUUGCUACACAGCGAUGUGAUGCUAAUCCCUAAAAGCCGUCUCAGUUCGGAUUGCACUCUGCAACUCGGGUGCAUGAAGUCGGAAUUGCUAGUAAUCGCAGAUCAGCACGCUGCGGUGAAUA
RNAcentral lists this ribosomal RNA (393 nucleotides) under uncultured bacterium. RNAcentral describes it as "bacterial SSU rRNA". It matches the Rfam family "Bacterial small subunit ribosomal RNA", at positions 975 to 1368 of the family's 1533-position model. The record is from RNAcentral.